UGGGGAAUUGUUCGCAAUGGGCGCAAGCCUGACGACGCAACGCCGCGUGGAGGAUGAAGGUCUUCGGAUUGUAAACUCCUGUUGAUCGGGACGAACAACCAUCGGGAUAACACCCCGGAGGUCUGACGGUACCGAUUGAGGAAGCCCCGGCUAACUCUGUGCCAGCAGCCGCGGUAAUACAGAGGGGGCAAGCGUUGUUCGGAAUUACUGGGCGUAAAGGGCGCGUAGGCGGCCGCCUAAGUCAGACGUGAAAUCCCUCGGCUCAACCGGGGAACUGCGUCUGAUACUGGGUGGCUUGAAUCCGGGAGAGGGAUGCGGAAUUCCAGGUGUAGCGGUGAAAUGCGUAGAUAUCUGGAGGAACACCGGUGGCGAAGGCGGCAUCCUGGACCGGCAUUGACGCUGAGGCGCGAAAGCCAGGGGAGCAAACGGG
RNAcentral lists this ribosomal RNA (430 nucleotides) under uncultured bacterium. RNAcentral's name for it is "bacterial SSU rRNA". It matches the Rfam family "Bacterial small subunit ribosomal RNA", at positions 355 to 776 of the family's 1533-position model. RNAcentral also lists the same sequence under 1 other name. The record is from RNAcentral.